Molecule: ribosomal RNA, 253 nt
Filed under: uncultured bacterium
Lineage: Bacteria
Description: partial 16S ribosomal RNA
Rfam family: Bacterial small subunit ribosomal RNA
Source: RNAcentral
UACGUAGGGUGCGAGCGUUAAUCGGAAUUACUGGGCGUAAAGCGUGCGCAGGCGGUUCGUUGUGUCUGAUGUGAAAGCCCCGGGCUCAACCUGGGAAUGGCAUUGGAAACUGGCGAGCUAGAGUGUGGCAGAGGGGGGUGGAAUUCCGCGUGUAGCAGUGAAAUGCGUAGAUAUCAAGUGGAACACCAGUGGCGAAGGCGAGUCCCUGGAAAACUCCUGACACUGAGGCACGAAAGCUAGGGGAGCAAACAGG